GAAAGGAUAAAGCAAUCACAAUGUAAGGCAAAAAUGCUGGUUAAAUUGAAGGAUGGGCGGUGGGAAGUAACCCACUUUAUCCGUGAUCAUAAUCAUCCUUUGGUCCCCAAGCAUUCGCUCUCCAAAUACUUGCGAUCUCACAUGGGUAUACCGCCGGAGGAAAAUAAGUUCCUAGAGAUACUCCACAACUACAACCUAACUUCAGGCCGUAUGAUGACUAUCAUGUCAGAGUUUUAUGGCUCGGAGCUAAAUGUACCAUAUGAACCUAAAGCAAUAACAAACUUAUGUGUUGGCUUCUACAAAGACUCAACGAAAGAGGGGGGACAUUAUUGA
This 333-nucleotide ribosomal RNA is filed under the name Triticum aestivum (bread wheat). RNAcentral's name for it is "partial small subunit ribosomal RNA". Lineage: Eukaryota; Viridiplantae; Streptophyta; Magnoliopsida; Poales; Poaceae. The record is from RNAcentral.